This 342-nucleotide unclassified non-coding RNA is filed under the name uncultured fungus. RNAcentral describes it as "sequence contains ITS1". The stretch from base 1 to 110 matches the Rfam family "5.8S ribosomal RNA", at positions 50 to 154 of the family's 154-position model. Lineage: Eukaryota; Fungi. The record is from RNAcentral.
GAACCGCGAUAUGCAAUGCGAUCCGCAGCCCUUGUGAAUCAUCUGAUCCUUGAACGCAUAUGGCACUACACGUCUGGUUACAGGCAUGUGGUACACUUGUUUGAGAAUUUAUUUUCCUCUUAUUCAUUUAGAUUUCAAUGUCUAGUUGAAUAGAUCAUGAAGAUCCAUUUCUUUUUAAAGCGAUGGUGAUUUGAAAUAGAGGAUCAAAAGAUAUCUUACUGUUUACAGCAAGAUAGAAAUAUAGAGUGAAACAUUUUAUAUUUCGAAAUUCUUUCGAUCAUCUGAAACGAAAAUAAUUUCCAACUUAAUCUCAAAUCAAGUGAGAAUACCCGCUGAACUUAA